This 1450-nucleotide ribosomal RNA is filed under the name Vibrio parahaemolyticus. RNAcentral describes it as "bacterial SSU rRNA". It matches the Rfam family "Bacterial small subunit ribosomal RNA". Lineage: Bacteria; Pseudomonadati; Pseudomonadota; Gammaproteobacteria; Vibrionales; Vibrionaceae. The record is from RNAcentral.
GGCGUCGAGCGGCGGACGGGUGAGUAAUGCCUAGGAAAUUGCCCUGAUGUGGGGGAUAACCAUUGGAAACGAUGGCUAAUACCGCAUGAUGCCUACGGGCCAAAGAGGGGGACCUUCGGGCCUCUCGCGUCAGGAUAUGCCUAGGUGGGAUUAGCUAGUUGGUGAGGUAAGGGCUCACCAAGGCGACGAUCCCUAGCUGGUCUGAGAGGAUGAUCAGCCACACUGGAACUGAGACACGGUCCAGACUCCUACGGGAGGCAGCAGUGGGGAAUAUUGCACAAUGGGCGCAAGCCUGAUGCAGCCAUGCCGCGUGUGUGAAGAAGGCCUUCGGGUUGUAAAGCACUUUCAGUCGUGAGGAAGGUAGUGUAGUUAAUAGCUGCAUUAUUUGACGUUAGCGACAGAAGAAGCACCGGCUAACUCCGUGCCAGCAGCCGCGGUAAUACGGAGGGUGCGAGCGUUAAUCGGAAUUACUGGGCGUAAAGCGCAUGCAGGUGGUUUGUUAAGUCAGAUGUGAAAGCCCGGGGCUCAACCUCGGAAUUGCAUUUGAAACUGGCAGACUAGAGUACUGUAGAGGGGGGUAGAAUUUCAGGUGUAGCGGUGAAAUGCGUAGAGAUCUGAAGGAAUACCGGUGGCGAAGGCGGCCCCCUGGACAGAUACUGACACUCAGAUGCGAAAGCGUGGGGAGCAAACAGGAUUAGAUACCCUGGUAGUCCACGCCGUAAACGAUGUCUACUUGGAGGUUGUGGCCUUGAGCCGUGGCUUUCGGAGCUAACGCGUUAAGUAGACCGCCUGGGGAGUACGGUCGCAAGAUUAAAACUCAAAUGAAUUGACGGGGGCCCGCACAAGCGGUGGAGCAUGUGGUUUAAUUCGAUGCAACGCGAAGAACCUUACCUACUCUUGACAUCCAGAGAACUUUCCAGAGAUGGAUUGGUGCCUUCGGGAACUCUGAGACAGGUGCUGCAUGGCUGUCGUCAGCUCGUGUUGUGAAAUGUUGGGUUAAGUCCCGCAACGAGCGCAACCCUUAUCCUUGUUUGCCAGCGAGUAAUGUCGGGAACUCCAGGGAGACUGCCGGUGAUAAACCGGAGGAAGGUGGGGACGACGUCAAGUCAUCAUGGCCCUUACGAGUAGGGCUACACACGUGCUACAAUGGCGCAUACAGAGGGCAGCCAACUUGCGAAAGUGAGCGAAUCCCAAAAAGUGCGUCGUAGUCCGGAUUGGAGUCUGCAACUCGACUCCAUGAAGUCGGAAUCGCUAGUAAUCGUGGAUCAGAAUGCCACGGUGAAUACGUUCCCGGGCCUUGUACACACCGCCCGUCACACCAUGGGAGUGGGCUGCAAAAGAAGUAGGUAGUUUAACCUUCGGGGGGACGCUUACCACUUUGUGGUUCAUGACUGGGGUGAAGUCGUAACAAGGUAGCGCUAGGGGAACCUGGCGCUGGAUCACCUCCUUA